RNAcentral lists this ribosomal RNA (301 nucleotides) under uncultured bacterium. Its description in RNAcentral is "partial 16S ribosomal RNA". It matches the Rfam family "Bacterial small subunit ribosomal RNA", at positions 509 to 807 of the family's 1533-position model. The record is from RNAcentral.
CAGCAGCCGCGGGAAUACGAAGGGGGCUAGCGUUGCUCGGAAUGACUAGGCGUAAAGGGCGCGCAGGCGGUUUUCCAAGUUAGGUGUGAAAUUCCUGGGCUCAACCUGGGGGCUGCAUUUGAUACUGGGAGGCUUGAGUAUGGAAGAGGGUCGUGGAAUUCCCAGUGUAGAGGUGAAAUUCGUAGAUAUUGGGAAGAACACCGGUGGCGAAGGCGGCGACCUGGUCCAUAACUGACGCUGAGGCGCGAAAGCGUGGGGAGCAAACAGGAUUAGAUACCCCUGUAGUCCCUGUCUCUUAUAC